GAUGAACGCUGGCGGCGUGCCUAAUACAUGCAAGUCGAACGCGAGAGGAGGGAGCUUGCUCCCUCUGAUCGAGUGGCGGACGGGUGAGUAACACGUAGGCAACCUGCCCAUCAGUCCGGGCUAACCGCGGGAAACCGUGGCUACUACCGGAUGAUCCUCGCCACCGCGGGGUGGGGAGUUGAAAGACGGUUUCGGCUGUCGCUGAUGGAUGGGCGUGCGGCGCAUUAGCUGGUUGGUGGGGUAACGGCCCACCAAGGCAACGCUGCGUAGCCGACCUGAGAGGGUGAUCGGCCACACUGGGACUGAGACACGGCCCAGACUCCUACGGGAGGCAGCAGUAGGGAAUCUUCCGCAAUGGACGCAAGUCUGACGGAGCAACGCCGCGUGAGUGAAGAAGGGUUUCGGCUCGUAAAACUCUGUUGUUAAGGAAGAACGACAGGUAGAGUAACUGCUACCUGUGUGACGGUACUUAACCAGAAAGCCACGGCUAACUACGUGCCAGCCGCCGCUGUAA
RNAcentral lists this ribosomal RNA (514 nucleotides) under uncultured bacterium. Its description in RNAcentral is "partial 16S ribosomal RNA". It matches the Rfam family "Bacterial small subunit ribosomal RNA", at positions 28 to 523 of the family's 1533-position model. The record is from RNAcentral.